CAGCCGCCACGGUAAUACGAAGGGGGCUAGCGUUGAUCGGAUUUACUGGGCGUAAAGGGCGCGUAGGCGGCAUAUACAGUCAGGCGUGAAAUUCCCGGGCUUAACCUGGGGGCUGCGUUUGAUACGUAUGGGCUAGAGUGGGGAAGAGGGUCGUGGAAUUCCCAGUGUAGCGGUGAAAUGCGUAGAUAUUAGGAAGAACACCAGUGGCGAAGGCGACUUUCUGGACGAAAACUGACGCUGAGGCGCGAAAGCCAGGGGAGCGAACGGGAUUAGAUACCCCCGUAGUCCCUGUCUCUUAUAC
RNAcentral lists this ribosomal RNA (301 nucleotides) under uncultured bacterium. RNAcentral describes it as "partial 16S ribosomal RNA". It matches the Rfam family "Bacterial small subunit ribosomal RNA", at positions 509 to 807 of the family's 1533-position model. The record is from RNAcentral.